GCCUUCCCAACCGUCGAUCCGUGUUUGAUCAACGGCUAGCGAUGCGCCGUGACCAGGGAUUUUACAAAGUCGUCCCUGGUUUGGAUCGCGAUUAUUAAGAAAUAAAUUUUAUAUUGUCCCCCCUGGUUUGGAUCGCGAUUAUUAAGAAAUAAAUUUUAUAUUGUCCCCCCUGGUUUGGAUCGAUUGUUUGCAGAUUAGCCCUCCUGUAUUCCGGCGGGAUGGUUUGCCCCUCCCGCUCCUCCUCCGCCGCCGCCCCUCGUCCAUUCGCCGGCCGUCCUCCGGCGAGCUCGUCGAGCAGCCGUUCCGACCUGGCCUUCGCGCGGCGAAGGAGGAGUUUUUUUUUUGUGCAGAUUAGCCGUCGUGGAUGGGCUGAUGGCUGGGCUUUCUGUCCCUCCUCCCGCCGUCCGCCCGUUCGCCAUCCCACCGGUGAAGACCAAGUCAACCUACACUGGUGGUUCGGAAUGAGAGAGACGACGACGAGCUCGCUUGAAUCGAGCAUGUUGCAGGGGAUAUCCGUUUGCGACGGCGCUGAGGCCCGCAAGUACUGGCGCUGCUUCGUCGUGCCCGCUUCCUGUUCGAUGGAAUACCGCGCCGCCGAUACGAUACCAACUUCAGUCUCUUUCACCCAGGACUAUUACACUAGUCACACCAUGCAGUAACCCUGAAUUGAAUUGAUCACUUGUUCCUGGCCUCAAAUGCUACAUGUCACUGAUGCAGCUGCAUAGCUAGACUUAUCUUCAAGCCCACAACAGCACAAAUCCUUUGUGUUAUCUCCAUGGCAAUGCUUUUCUGCCUUAAUCUCAUGGUAAACACUAGAUAACUGACUGUCAUCGCUAAGGAUAGCUGUCUCUGGUGUAUUGGAAUGAUCAGGAACAUCCACAUGUGGAUUCCUUGCAGCUUCAUCCAUCUCAGGAUCUUCUGAUGGGCUUGUUUUUCCAUGCUCGCUUGAUUGAUCUGUGUGGGAUGCUGCUGCUUCAUCAGUCAACAUGGACCCAGAAACGGCUUGCUGCUCAAUGAGAGGUGAUUGCAACAUAUGUGAAAUAUCACAGAAACUAUUUAUCGUUUCCAUGAAAUUGGAAUAGAUUAUUCUUUCUUCUUCAUGGUAGGAUCUCUCAAAGUUCUGCACUAUAAUAAACUCCUCUUCUGCUUGCUUGAGCUUGUCAUUUAAUUCACCUGGUCCACUGGUUAGUACUGCCUUCUCUUCCUCCAGUUUCUGCAUUGAGUUCUCCAGCUCAUUGUUUUCCAGACACAGCCUAUUUAUCUUUGCAGUCUGUGCUGAAACCAUGAGCUCCAAAUCCACAACUCUAUUGACUAUUUCAUCAAUUUUCUCUGCAAUCUCUACCACAUGAAGAUCAGAGUUCAUCUGAAAGUAUCCCUUGAUCUUAUUUACUAUAUCUUGUAGUUCAAUUUUCUUCUGCUUCAUGGAGUACAAUUCAUCUAUCUUAACACUGGCAUAACUUUUAACGUUCUCAUGUGGAGAAUUUCCCGGAUAUGAUGGGGAUUUACCAUGUCCUUUCAUGACACCCUCCAGCUUCUCCCUGGAAACCUUGAUUCUUUGGGACUCGAUCAUUGCUUGGCUGAAAGAUGUCUUCUGUUGUUCCUGCAUUUUAAUAAGCGCGUCUUCACAGGAUUUAAGAGCAGUUGCUGUCAUCAAAGCCCGGGCUUCGUCAUCGUCAAUCGCUGCACUUUCAUUGAACUCCUCUUGGAAGUAGCAAACCUCUUCCUGCAUGUCAUUAAUCUUCUUUUCAAGAUCCCAGUACUUUGAAAUUCCACUCUCGUAAGAGCUUUUGAUGAACUCUUUCUCAGUCUGCAGGACUAAUAUUUCUUUCUGUAGCCUGCCAAUCUCUGCUUGUGCAUUCUCCUUGUUGAUUGGAGUUGCAGAUUUCUUGUUUCCAUCCUUCAGUCCUGAUUUCCCUCCGUGCUUCUUCUUCAUCAGUCCUUCCACUGUUGACUUGUGGAUUUUGCGAGGAUCAACCGUGGUAAAUGCCUUCGGGAGAUUGUCAUCAUCCUCUUCUAGCAAUGCAUACUGGACUUGAUCAGGGAAGGCAGUUGCAAUGGUAUGGUUUGCUUUGUGUAGCUCCCCUGAUAUAUGGUCAUAGCGUUCAGCAAGGGCCCUGUAUGCCCGGUAUGCUUCUUCCACGGAACCGAUAACCUCCGGUCGCCUCUUGUAGUACAUUUCUGCCCUCUUUGCAAAAGAAUCAGCUUCCUCCCCAAGGAGGAAGAGAAUGCACUUGACCCUAUCUUCCAUAUCUGCAUAUCCACGGCAAUCUCUUAAUACCCGAAAUACAAUAAUGUUGAACAAUUACAAAAGCAAGCGCAUUUCAACCCUAUUUUAGAGACACUGGUUAUUCAGAAGAAAAUGCUCAAAAUUCAUUAUCUAAAUGCAUUGGCAGGAUUGCAGAAAUAUGUGUUGAAGGAUGUUUUAUGAUACCUGUAUAAAAAUAUCUAAACUUCAAAGCAAUUGUAACUGGUAUGGGUUUGAUAUGUCAGCGGCUUCAUUUUUUUCUUUUUAUGUACUUAACUGCCUUGCAUUUGGUGGUCAUUUUAUUUGGCACAUAAUGAUAUACAACGUUUCGAUUGUGAAGAGCUGUAGCAUAUAUCUCUCUACUAGGCUAAUACCAUAGAUCUAGCAUGAAAAGUACAAUAUUUCUUGCUCUGAGGGACCAGACAUCAUCAUACAUUUUUCUUUGUCAAGUGACUACUAUAUAUUGGUGCUUAGUUGAUCCAUGCAUCAACUUCAUAGUCACCUAUGAUUGUAUUUACAAGAAAUCAGAUGUUCUUAGUAGAAUUCUGGUACAAAUAACAUAGAGUAGUAUAUUUUUAAUAGAUCGCAGGAUAGAUAAUCAUGACUCAUGAUGCCGAAUGCUAGUUUAUUUGACAUCUUUUUCAGGAAAUUAUUCAAGUUUGGAGAAAGAAAAGAAACGGUUCAGAUAAAUCAUCAUCUCCCUGGUUGUCCAACAAAGCUGUAACAAAAUGGCGGUGCCGGUGAAGUAGCACAUAAAUCAUGACAUGAGCUGUUUUUCUAAGAAAGAAAAACCAAUUGGACCCGGGUGUUAUGCCUGCAUGUGCAUGGACUGGAUGGUGUGAUCAGGAAAGCCAAACCUUUGAGGUUGUUGUCGAGCCAUUUGGACUGUUUGGUGCGGACAUGGCUCGCCCACCACCAUGAGUAGGCGUUGCUUGCCGCCCGCUGCAGCAUUCUGUUCCGGCCUCCUUCAGCUCAGAGUUCUUCAGCCGUGUAGCCCCUACUCCUGUUGACAAGAAAGUGAUGGGGGUAUCAGAAUUCAGAAAGAAAUUAAGGCAGGAAAAAAUGUCAUGAUUGGUUAAUGUCUGGUACCUCCGUUUGCUGUUGACGAUGCGCCAUCUCUAAAUCAAACGAAGAACGCAGAUGCUUGUGCUUGGUUGGCAGCACAAGAGAGUAAUUGGUAGGUACUAGUGGAGACGAAGUGGCAGGAACCGGAGAAGUAGUCCCUGAAUGGUGGGCCCCUUGGUUGUGUGAACUCGGCUGGUGUUGCGCGGCACGUCGGCAUGUGCUGGUUGGCUCGAAAUUCCUUCCUGAUGCCCCGGGGGCUUUACUGGUCUUGUUUUCUGCAGUGUUUUUUUUUUUUCUCCUUAAAACAAUACAACAUGUUCCCAUGUUUUUCUUCUCUUACGAGCGAGACUUGUGACUUGUCCGUGUGUAUAAUCCUGUAAAUUUUCUGGGGCAUGCAGUUACGCGCAUUGUAUAGCUUUGCAUUGUCCAUCGUAUAAAUUCCUGUAAAUGAAAUACAUGUUUUCAAACGUUCUAAAAUAUUUAUAAGAUACAAAGAAGGGCAUGUUUCAUAGCUAUUCG
Phragmites australis (common reed) is the source of this 3829-nucleotide RNA transcript. RefSeq lists it as uncharacterized. Lineage: Eukaryota; Viridiplantae; Streptophyta; Magnoliopsida; Poales; Poaceae. The transcript is spliced from 4 exons. The record is from RefSeq and is a predicted model, not a curated record.